GGGAAGAUGGUCUAGCUUGGCUAUGAUUCCGGUUUCGGGAGCCGAAUCGAGGGUUCAAAAUUAUGGGCCCAUAUGGACCCAGAAUGAAAUUCCCUCUCUUCCCA
RNAcentral lists this transfer RNA (104 nucleotides) under Promethearchaeota archaeon. RNAcentral's name for it is "Candidatus Lokiarchaeota archaeon (microbial mat metagenome) tRNA-Pro". It matches the Rfam family "tRNA". Rfam says of the family: Transfer RNA (tRNA) molecules are approximately 80 nucleotides in length. Lineage: Archaea; Promethearchaeati; Promethearchaeota. The record is from RNAcentral.